GUUCCAUUUUAUUAUCAAACAGUAUUCCGUUGUCUGAAUAUAUCACAAUCUGUUCUUCUUUUGAUGGACAUCUGAACUGUGUCCAGUUGGGGAUAUUAAGGAUAAGGCUUCUGGGAACAUUCCUAUACAAGUAUUUUGGUGAACACGUGUUUUCAUCUCUCCUGGGUAAAUAUCCAGUCCUGGAAUUGCUGGGUCAUAGAGUAGGUGUAUGUUGGAUUUUAUAGGAAACUGUUAGAACUUUUCCUUCAGUGGUUGUACCAUUUUACAUUCCUACCAAGAAUGUAUGAGAAUUCCAGUUACUCCACCUGCUCAUCAGCAUUGAGAUUGACAGUCUGUUCAUCUUAGCCAUUCUGCUGGAUGUGCAGUGGUGUGUUAUUGUGGUUUUAGUCUUCACUUCCCUGAUGACUAAUGAUAGUGAGGCCUUUUCAUGUGCUUAAUGACCACUUGAAUAUCUUCCUUUGUGAAGUGUCCAUUCAAAGCCCUGCCCAUUUUUUAAAUUGGGUUUUAUUUUUUUAAUUGAAUUGUAGUUCUUUUUAUAUCCUAGAUACCAGUUCUUUGUCAGAUACAUCUUUUUAAAAUAAUUUCUCCCAGUUUGUGGCAUGCCUGUUAAUUUUCUUGUUGUCUUUUGAUGAGCAGAAGUUUUUCAUUUUAAUGAAGUCUAACUUAUAAAUUUUAUCUUUUUAUGGUUAUUGCUUUCUGUGUCUUGCCUGAAAAAAACCACUGCCUACUCCAUUGGAGGAGAUAGUCUCCCUUUUUUAUUUUUUGUAAGAAUUUGAUAGUUUUAGCUUUUAAAUUUAGAUCUGUAAUCCACUUUGGGUUAAUAUUUGUGAAUGGUGUGAAUAGAGGUCAAGGAUCUUUUUUUUUUUUUCCACCUGGAUAACCAGUUCUUCCAGCAUCAUUGUUGAAAACAUUUUCCUUUCCCUAUUGGAUUUCCCUUUGGUUCCUUUGCCAAAGAUCAGAUGACCAUUUAAGCGUGGGUCUAUUUCUGGACUCUUUUCGGCUUUUCCACAGAUCUGUUUGAAGAUUCUGUGUGAGUACCACACUGUCUUGAUUUCUAUAGCUUUAUAGUAAGUCUUGAAACCAGAUAGUAUAAGUUCUCCAACCUUAUUCUUUCUCAAGAUAGCUUUGGAUAUUUCAGGUUCUUUGUGUUUUCAUUGUACAAUCAGUUUGUGGUUUCUGAAGAAAAGCUGGUGGGAUUAUGAUUGCAAUUGCAUUCAGUCUGUUCAUCAAUUGGAAGAAUUGAACACUUCUUACAUGCCAGACUGUUGUAAGCUCUUGGAUUACAUCUGGGAACAAAGCAAAGAUCCUUGUGCUACUGUAGCUUACAUUCAGAGGGAAUUUUUGUUUAUUUGUUUUCUGUCAGGGUUUAUUAGUUUAAAUAUCUGAUGAUUCCCUUAGGACAGAUUCCUAGAGGUAGAAUUACUACAUCAAGUAAUAGGAACUUUUUCAGGCUCUUUAAACAUAUGACCAGAUAACUUUCUAACUCAGCAAGUACUUUUUUUUUUUUGAGACGGUGUCUCGCUCUGUUGCCAGGCUGGAGUGCAGUAGCGCAAUCUCGGCUCGCUGCAACCUCUGCCUCCCAGGUUCAAGCGAUUCCCCUGCCUCAGCCUCCUGAGUAGCUGGGACUACAGGCACACACCACCACGCCCAGUAUUUUUAGUAGAGACGGGGUUUCACCAUGUUGGUCAGGAUGGUCUCGAUCUCUUGACCUCGUGAUCCACUCAAAGUGCUGGGAUUACAGGCAUGAGCCACCGUGCCCGGCCAAGUAUUUAUCUUCUGUGGAACUAACCACUACGCUCAGCAUUUUGGAGAUCUAGGACUGGGAAGAUUGCGGUCAGUUCUUGCUCUUAAAGCACUCUAUCCAGCUGGAGAAACAUGAUGGCCAUUCAUGAAGGAGUUUGAGUCCUGUCCAUUGUUUGUAAUGGAAUCCAGAUUAAACAUCUACUGUCCAAAUAACAGUCCUAACAAUGCAAGGGUCAGAAAAAAGGUCAGCA
RNAcentral lists this long non-coding RNA (1994 nucleotides) under Homo sapiens (human). RNAcentral describes it as "HSALNT0276287". The record is from RNAcentral. Lineage: Eukaryota; Metazoa; Chordata; Mammalia; Primates; Hominidae.